CGCAAGCCUGACGGAGCAACGCCGCGUGCGGGAGGACGGCCUGUGGGUUGUAAACCGCUUUUCUCAGGGAAGAAGAUCUGACGGUACCUGAGGAAUCAGCAUCGGCUAACUCCGUGCCAGCAGCCGCGGUAAUACGGAGGAUGCAAGCGUUAUCCGGAAUUAUUGGGCGUAAAGCGUCCGCAGGCGGUCUUUCAAGUCUGCUGUUAAAGGCUGGGGCUUAACUCCGGACAGGCAGUGGAAACUGAGUGACUAGAGUGCGGUAGGGGUCGAGGGGAUUCCCAGUGUAGCGGUGAAAUGCGUAGAUAUUGGGAAGAACACCGGUGGCGAAGGCGCUCUACUGGGCCGCAACUGACGCUGAGGGACGAAAGCUAGGGGAGCG
RNAcentral lists this ribosomal RNA (379 nucleotides) under uncultured cyanobacterium. RNAcentral describes it as "bacterial SSU rRNA". It matches the Rfam family "Bacterial small subunit ribosomal RNA", at positions 376 to 770 of the family's 1533-position model. The record is from RNAcentral. Lineage: Bacteria; Bacillati; Cyanobacteriota.